This 72-nucleotide transfer RNA is filed under the name Nanobdella aerobiophila. RNAcentral's name for it is "tRNA-Val". It matches the Rfam family "tRNA". From Rfam's summary of the family: Transfer RNA (tRNA) molecules are approximately 80 nucleotides in length. Their secondary structure includes four short double-helical elements and three loops (D, anti-codon, and T loops). Lineage: Archaea; Nanobdellati; Nanobdellota; Nanobdellia; Nanobdellales; Nanobdellaceae. The record is from RNAcentral.
GGACCCGUAGUCUAGUGGUAUGAUAUUGGAUCCACUAUCCAAAGAUCGGGGGUUCGAAUCCCCCCGGGUCCA